AAACUUGUACCAAUGCUUAUAAAGAAUUCUACAAGAAUAGUACCUUCAUACAAUCAAUGGAAAUAAAUAGGUUGAGCAAAGGCAAGUAAAAAAUAAUGAUUUGGUAUUUUUAAAAUAUCUAAUGAAGAUACAAUCUUUUAGCAUUGGCAACAUGAUUCUAUAUAUAUUUUCUAUAAAAGAGAUGGAUUCUUAUAGUAUUUUGAAUGAAUCUCUAAAAAUA
Molecule: long non-coding RNA, 220 nt
Filed under: Physcomitrium patens
Lineage: Eukaryota; Viridiplantae; Streptophyta; Bryopsida; Funariales; Funariaceae
Description: long non-coding RNA (PPAT_LNC002471)
Source: RNAcentral